Molecule: transfer RNA, 72 nt
Filed under: Flammeovirgaceae bacterium
Lineage: Bacteria; Pseudomonadati; Bacteroidota; Cytophagia; Cytophagales; Flammeovirgaceae
Also listed under: 6 other names
Description: tRNA-Thr
Rfam family: tRNA
About the family: Transfer RNA (tRNA) molecules are approximately 80 nucleotides in length. Their secondary structure includes four short double-helical elements and three loops (D, anti-codon, and T loops).
Source: RNAcentral
GCCGAGGUAGCUCAGGGGUAGAGCAGCUGAUUCGUAAUCAGCAGGUCGUGAGUUCAAAUCUCAUUCUCGGCU